This 357-nucleotide ribosomal RNA is filed under the name uncultured bacterium. RNAcentral describes it as "bacterial SSU rRNA". It matches the Rfam family "Bacterial small subunit ribosomal RNA", at positions 29 to 404 of the family's 1533-position model. The record is from RNAcentral.
AUGAACGUUGGCGGCGUGGAUUAGGCAUGCAAGUCGAGCGAGAACCCCGCAAGGGGGGACAGCGGCGCAAGGGACAGUAAUGUGUAGAUCAUCUGCCCUCAGGUCCGGGAUAGCUGCGGGAAACUGCAGGUAAUACCGGAUAACAUCUCCGGAUCAAAGGUGUGAUUCCGCCUGAGGAUGAGUCUACAUCCUAUUAGCUAGUUGGUAGGUAACGGCCUACCAAGGCAUUGAUGGGUAGCGGGUGUGAGAGCACGACCCGCGUCAUUGGGACUGAGACACUGCCCAGACACCUACGGGUGGCUGCAGUCGAGAAUCUUCGGCAAGUGGGCNCAAGCCUGACCGAGCGACGCCGCGUGU